GCGGCUAUUUUGGACGGCCAGGAUGUGCUCUCAAGUCCCAGCACAUGAACUCCAAAACCUUUUGCUCUCCGGCUCGAGCAAACCUCUCCUCAUCUCGCUAGCAGUUCGUUGUCGUCGAGACAGAACAAAGAAAACACACAGCAUGUUGUCCCCACACGCGCGCCCCCGCAACCAUCGUCUGUUGCGUCGCGCGAGAUGGGAUGGGCUUCGGAGUUGGGAUGGGAGCAGGAGCAGCCACAGAUUUUCCUCCUCCCCCUUAGCCACCCAGCCACCCGCCUCCGCCAUGCCGUCCUCUCCUCCCAACCCUAGCCGCAACGCGACCCCUCGGCGACUCCUCCCCGCUUAGCCCUCACGCCCCCUCCGCCGCCGCCGCCCGCACAUCCGGAACCGGCGGCGAUGCAGGC
RNAcentral lists this long non-coding RNA (404 nucleotides) under Oryza brachyantha (malo sina). RNAcentral describes it as "long non-coding RNA (OBRA_LNC000529)". The record is from RNAcentral. Lineage: Eukaryota; Viridiplantae; Streptophyta; Magnoliopsida; Poales; Poaceae.